This 403-nucleotide ribosomal RNA is filed under the name bacterium. Its description in RNAcentral is "partial 16S ribosomal RNA". It matches the Rfam family "Bacterial small subunit ribosomal RNA", at positions 355 to 776 of the family's 1533-position model. The record is from RNAcentral.
UGGGGAAUAUUGCACAAUGGGGGAAACCCUGAUGCAGCGACGCCGCGUGAACGAAGAAGGUAUUCGUAUCGUAAAGGUCUGUCCUAUGGGAAGAUAAUGACAGUACCAUAGAAGAAAGCUCCGGCUAAAUACGUGCCAGCAGCCGCGGUAAUACGUAUGGAGCGAGCGUUGUCCGGAAUUAUUGGGCGUAAAGGGUACGCAGGCGGUUUAAUAAGUCGAAUGUUAAAGAUCGGGGCUCAACCCCGCAAAGCAUUGGAAACUGAUAAACUUGAGUAGUGUAGAGGAAAGUGGAAUUCCUAGUGUAGUGGUGAAAUACGUAGAUAUUAGGAGGAAUACCAGUAGCGAAGGCGACGUUCUGGACACAAACUGACGCUGAGGUACUAAAGCGUGGGGAGCAAACAGG